RNAcentral lists this ribosomal RNA (556 nucleotides) under uncultured Clostridia bacterium. RNAcentral describes it as "bacterial SSU rRNA". It matches the Rfam family "Bacterial small subunit ribosomal RNA", at positions 1 to 573 of the family's 1533-position model. Lineage: Bacteria; Bacillati; Bacillota; Clostridia. The record is from RNAcentral.
UUAGAGUUUGAUCAUGGCUCAGGACGAACGCUGGCGGCGUGCUUAACACAUGCAAGUCGAGCGGGUACAUUUCCUUCGGGAGAUGUGCUAGCGGCGGACGGGUGAGGAACACGUGAACAAUCUGCCCACAGCAGGGGAACAACAUCGGGAAACCGGUGCUAAUACCGCAUAAGCCCACAGUAUCGCAUGAUACAGGGGGAAAAGGAAGCAAUUCCGGCAGUGGAGGAGUUCGCGGCCCAUUAGAUAGUUGGCGAGGUAACGGCUCACCAAGUCUACGAUGGGUAGCCGGCCUGAGAGGGUGACCGGCCACACUGGGACUGAGACACGGCCCAGACUCCUACGGGAGGCAGCAGUGGGGAAUAUUGGGCAAUGGGGGAAACCCUGACCCAGCAACGCCGCGUGAGGGAAGAAGGCCUUAGGGUCGUAAACCUCUGUCCCAUGAGAAGAAACAAAUGACGGUAUCAUGGGAGGAAGCUCCGGCUAACUACGUGCCAGCAGCCGCGGUAAUACGUAGGGAGCGAGCGUUGUCCGGAAUUAUUGGGCGUAAGGGCGCGUA